GUGGGGAAUUUUGGACAAUGGGGGCAACCCUGAUCCAGCCAUGCCGCGUGUGUGAAGAAGGCCUUCGGGUUGUAAAGCACUUUCGGCCGGAACGAAAUCGCGUGCGUGAAUAGCGUGCGUGGAUGACGGUACCGGAAGAAGAAGCACCGGCUAACUACGUGCCAGCAGCCGCGGUAAUACGUAGGGUGCGAGCGUUAAUCGGAAUUACUGGGCGUAAAGCGUGCGCAGGCGGCUCCGCAAGUCAGGCGUGAAAUCCCCGGGCUCAACCUGGGAAUGGCGCUUGAAACUGCGAAGCUAGAGUGUGGCAGAGGGAGGUAGAAUUCCACGUGUAGCAGUGAAAUGCGUAGAUAUGUGGAGGAAUACCGAUGGCGAAGGCAGCCUCCUGGGCCAACACUGACGCUCAUGCACGAAAGCGUGGGGAGCAAACAGGAUUAGAAACCCGAGUAGUCC
RNAcentral lists this ribosomal RNA (450 nucleotides) under uncultured bacterium. RNAcentral's name for it is "bacterial SSU rRNA". It matches the Rfam family "Bacterial small subunit ribosomal RNA", at positions 354 to 796 of the family's 1533-position model. The record is from RNAcentral.